CCUACGGGAGGCAGCAGUAGGGAAUAUUGCUCAAUGGGGGAAACCCUGAAGCAGCAACGCCGCGUGGAGGAUGAAGGUCUUCGGAUUGUAAACCCCUUUUGUUAGAGAAGAUAAUGACGGUAUCUAACGAAUAAGGACUGGCCAACUCCGGGCCAGCAGCCGCGGUAAUACGGAGGGUGCAAGCGUUACUCGGAAUCACUGGGCGUAAAGGGCGCGGAGGCGGGAUAGCAAGUCAGAUGUGAAAUCCUAUGGCUUAACCAUAGAACUGCAGUUGAAACUGUGAUUCUUGAGUAUGGGAGAGGUAGGUGGAAUUCUUGGUGUAGGGGCAAAAUCCGUAGAGAUCAAGAAGAAUACUCAUUGCGAAGGCGACCUGCUAGAACAUAACUGACGCUGAUGCGCGAAAGCGUGGGGAGCAAACAGGAUUAGAUACCCCAGUAGUC
This 440-nucleotide ribosomal RNA is filed under the name uncultured bacterium. Its description in RNAcentral is "partial 16S ribosomal RNA". It matches the Rfam family "Bacterial small subunit ribosomal RNA", at positions 338 to 795 of the family's 1533-position model. The record is from RNAcentral.